UGGUGGCUCUGGUUGUGGUAGGGCCCUCGGUCGAUCUUUCCUACCUUCAAGCCAGCGUAGGAUGAAUCUGUUGAGCCGACCUUGUCUGAUGAGCUCCUCGAUCUCAUCUCGAAGCUGAAUACACUCCUCUGUGCUGUGGCCGUGGUCAUGAUGAUAGAGGCAGAACUUGUUAGGGUUGCAUUUCCCAUGGUGUGUGCACAUCCUUUAGGGCCUUGGCAG
RNAcentral lists this long non-coding RNA (219 nucleotides) under Elaeis guineensis (African oil palm). RNAcentral's name for it is "long non-coding RNA (EGUI_LNC080104)". The record is from RNAcentral. Lineage: Eukaryota; Viridiplantae; Streptophyta; Magnoliopsida; Arecales; Arecaceae.